AAAAACUGAACUGCGAGCUGCCUUCGGGCGCCAACCUCCACCCGUGACUACCUAACACUGUUGCUUCGGCGGGGAGCCCUCUCGGGGGCGCGCCGCCGGGGACUACUGAACUUCAUGCCUGAGAGUGAUGCAGUCUGAGUCUGAAUAUAAAAUCAGUCAAAACUUUCAACAAUGGAUCUCUUGGUUCCGGCAUCGAUGAAGAACGCAGCGAACUGCGAUAAGUAAUGUGAAUUGCAGAAUUCAGUGAAUCAUCGAGUCUUUGAACGCACAUUGCGCCCCCUGGCAUUCCGGGGGGCAUGCCUGUCCGAGCGUCAUUGCUGCCCAUCAAGCCCGGCUUGUGUGUUGGGUCGUCGUCCCCCCCGGGGGACGGGCCCGAAAGGCAGCGGCGGCACCGUGUCCGGUCCUCGAGCGUAUGGGGCUUUGUCACCCGCUCGAUUUAGGGCCGGCCGGGCGCCAGCCGACGUCCAACCAUUUUUCUUCAGGUUGACCUCGGAUCAGGUAGGGAUACCCGCUGAACUUAAGCAUAUCUAGACCCGGGAAGAAAUCAUUAC
RNAcentral lists this ribosomal RNA (551 nucleotides) under Aspergillus sp. dat.2. Its description in RNAcentral is "eukaryotic LSU rRNA". The stretch from base 161 to 314 matches the Rfam family "5.8S ribosomal RNA". The record is from RNAcentral. Lineage: Eukaryota; Fungi; Ascomycota; Eurotiomycetes; Eurotiales; Aspergillaceae.